RNAcentral lists this ribosomal RNA (253 nucleotides) under uncultured bacterium. RNAcentral describes it as "partial 16S ribosomal RNA". It matches the Rfam family "Bacterial small subunit ribosomal RNA", at positions 524 to 776 of the family's 1533-position model. The record is from RNAcentral.
UACGUAGGUGGCAAGCGUUGUCCGGAUUUACUGGGUUUAAAGGGUGCGCAGGCGGAUAUGUAAGUCAGUGGUGAAACCUCUAGGCUUAACCUGGAAAUUGCCGUUGAUACUAUAUAUCUUGAAUGCUGUGGAGGUAAGCGGAAUAUGUCAUGUAGCGGUGAAAUGCUUAGAUAUGACAUAGAACACCUAUUGCGAAGGCAGCUUACUACGCAGAUAUUGACGCUCAUGCACGAAAGCGUGGGGAUCAAACGGG